GCGGGAGGCGCCGUUGCCUGCGCCGGGAGCGGCCCGGCGCCGCCUCGGGGGGAGACGAGGCGCCGCUUCCAGCUGGCGGAGCUUAAAAGGGGCCUGGCGACGGGGGAGCCGCUGCUGCAGCCCGCGGGAGGAGCCGGCGACUGGGGCGCCUGCGGCUUCACGGGCGUUUAGAUGCAGGCUCUUUGCAGGUUUUUUUUUUUUUUGUAGAUCUACUUACCAACAACUACUGAAGAUGAAUGAAUUUAAAUACAAGUACAAUCAGCUAAGCUACACCUCCCUGAGGAAAUGAUGACAUCCCAGUGGUGUGCUGCUGUCUUGGAGUGUUUUGAAGCCCAGGUUGCUGGCCUGGUGGAAACGUUUCUGGUGGAGGUAGACAGUGCAAACUCUAUCAGUUCACAAGCAGUAUCAAAGACAGGGGAGUUUUACCAUAACAUUACAAAGAAUUUUAUUAUGCUUGUGGAGCUGAUACAACGAGCAUAUAAGCAAUGGACCCAGGUCUACAAGCACCUGCGCAACCAUGGUUACGAUUCCAAGCUGCAUCCAUGUACUGAAUGUGAGAUGUUUCUUACAAAUUGGCAGAGGCUAUAUGUCUGCAGGAACUGUUCUUCUUGCUGGUAAAUAAAUAGGGCGACCGUUUUCCUUGAGAUUAUCUUGAAUCUGAUUAUCUUCAUCUGAAAACAGAAGAGAAAUGCAUUCAUGACAUCUGCCUGUAUCUGUUACACAUCUUAUAUUUUUUUAUUUAAGUGCUUACUGAAUAUUUAAUGUUAUAUAAAGCCACAUGGCAUUUCUUGCACUAUUCUGGAUGCUCUGCUUUGUUACUGAGGUUGCCUUUUAUAUAAAAGAUCCUGUUCUCACUUGCUCUUGUCUUGCCAYUUUUUUUUAAUUGUUUCAGUUGUAUUGGCUGAAAUUUUUCAUGUUGGGUCUUUGCUUCCAAUUGAUAGUUUUAUUUCAAAAAGAGAUCAACCAAAGUGGUUCACCCAAUUUUCUAGAAUGCAUAUCCUCAUUGUGAUGUUUUUAAGUGGAAACAAUAAGGAGAGUGGGGAUACCUUUCCUUUAAAAAGGCCCUAAUGAUGCAUGGUUUGCAGCAAGACUUAAGCAUUUUUCAGAUGGUGCCUUUCGUGUGCAGAAGGGCGCACUCCUGAUGCAAAAGUGUACUGAG
Molecule: long non-coding RNA, 1159 nt
Filed under: Apteryx owenii (little spotted kiwi)
Lineage: Eukaryota; Metazoa; Chordata; Aves; Apterygiformes; Apterygidae
Description: lncRNA (ENSAOWG00000012070.1)
Source: RNAcentral